AUGCAAAGGUGCAACUGUCAUUACAGCUGUAUUAUUUUAUGUUUAGUAUUUUAUCAUCUUCUGCCCUCUACUGACUUGAAUAAGUGCAAACCGACCAAGAUCCAAAACCUUUCAUUGAUAUCCAUCUAUCAGAUAUCCAAGAAUAUAAUGCAAAAGAAUAUUUACCAAUCUGGUAACUAAGAACUGAAGAAAAUGUAAGGAAAAAAAAAAUUCACAAAA
This 219-nucleotide unclassified non-coding RNA is filed under the name Hevea brasiliensis (rubber tree). The record is from RNAcentral. Lineage: Eukaryota; Viridiplantae; Streptophyta; Magnoliopsida; Malpighiales; Euphorbiaceae.